GAUGAACGCUAGCGGGAGGCCUAACACAUGCAAGCCGAGCGGUAUUGUUUCUUCGGAAAUGAGAGAGCGGCGUACGGGUGCGUAACACGUGUGCAACCUGUCUUUAUCUGGGGGAUAGCCUUUCGAAAGGAAGAUUAAUACUCCAUAAUAUAUUGAACGGCAUCGUUUAAUAUUGAAAGCUCCGGCGGAUAGAGAUGGGCACGCGCAAGAUUAGCUAGUUGGUGAGGUAACGGCUCACCAAGGCGAUGAUCUUUAGGGGGCCUGAGAGGGUGAUCCCCCACACUGGUACUGAGACACGGACCAGACUCCUACGGGAGGCAGCAGUGAGGAAUAUUGGUCAAUGGGUGCAAGCCUGAACCAGCCAUCCCGCGUGAAGGACGACUGCCCUAUGGGUUGUAAACUUCUUUUGUAUAGGGAUAAACCUACCCUCGAGAGGGUAGCUGAAGGUACUAUACGAAUAAGCACCGGCUAACUCCGUG
Molecule: ribosomal RNA, 479 nt
Filed under: uncultured bacterium
Lineage: Bacteria
Description: partial 16S ribosomal RNA
Rfam family: Bacterial small subunit ribosomal RNA
Source: RNAcentral